Molecule: long non-coding RNA, 712 nt
Filed under: Phoenix dactylifera (date palm)
Lineage: Eukaryota; Viridiplantae; Streptophyta; Magnoliopsida; Arecales; Arecaceae
Description: long non-coding RNA (PDAC_LNC019120)
Source: RNAcentral
UAUCAUCCCAUUGGCGGGGUCUAGACUAUAGUCACGCGGAUUUUAAAAAUCAAUAAAUCAACUUUCUAUAUCAAAAUCAUAAUCAUACUCCCCACAGUAAAGCGCAUAACAAUUUAUGAGAUUAAAUAUUUAAUUUUAAUUCUAACACAUAUUGCUAAUAAUAAAUCAAUAAAUCAACAUAUGCAAGAUACAUGUUAGAAUUCUACUUUAAGGCAACGGUCACCUACCUGGGUUCGCUUAAAAAUCCCUACCACAGAUAUCACGAACUCCUGAUUAAACAUAAAUAUUAAUUAUUUAAUUAAUUAAGAAACAUAAUUUAAACUAAUUUCAACCCCUUAAACUCCUAAGUUCAUAAAUCCAAGAAUGGGCCCCCAAGAUCAAACAUAUAUCCUAAAAUCAGAAUCCUUUAGACCCAAGUCAAUUGUGGCCCAACACAGAUUAGGCCCAAUUGAACCAAACCAGAUUACAGGUCCAGAUCAGAUCUCGGGCCCAAAUCAAACCAGCCCACAGAUCCAAUCAAGCCCAACUCAGCCCAAAAACAGACCCCCAACCCAAAUUCUUGACUCAGAUUCAGACCCUAAUCAGAACCCAUUCACGGAAUAGGUGGAACCGGUUCACAGUUUAGACCCGGUUCAAAAUCUGGUUCACCAUUAAGGCACGGAUUUCAAAGCAAGGAAAAACACCCAGAUCGAAGAAAGAAGAAGAAGAAGAA